Ictalurus punctatus (channel catfish) is the source of this 292-nucleotide long non-coding RNA. NCBI's taxonomy places the organism in Eukaryota, Metazoa, Chordata, Actinopteri, Siluriformes, Ictaluridae. The record is from Ensembl.
GUGAGACGUGACAUUGUGACGAGGCGUGGUGACGUGGCGUUGUGAUGAGACGUGGUGAUGGGAUGUGGUGAGACGUGACAUUGUGACGAGGCGUGGUGACGUGGUGUUGUGACGUGACAUUGUGAUAAGACUUGGUGAGACGUGACAUUGUGACGAGGCAUGAUGACGUGGUGUUGUGACGUGACGUGCAAGUUCUAGUUCACAUCACAUGUUGUCACCAUGUCACUACACAACGUCACGUCUUGUCUCCUGUCUCUCCCUCUCUCUGUCUCUCCCUCCCUCUCUCUCUCUG